Molecule: long non-coding RNA, 663 nt
Filed under: Carassius auratus (goldfish)
Lineage: Eukaryota; Metazoa; Chordata; Actinopteri; Cypriniformes; Cyprinidae
Description: lncRNA (ENSCARG00000017532.1)
Source: RNAcentral
AGAAAAUUGGACCGAGGUAUAUUGAAAACGGGGGUGAACUGUUAAUUUAGAACCGAAAAGUCAUUGUACAAAGAGUCUACAUGUUGAAUAUUUGAUCGGUUAAUUGAUUAUAUAUUCUAUUUUUUUUAUAAUGUGAAACUGAACAUCAACUAAUACUGUUCUGUUCUAAAUCUGAUCAAUUCCCCCUCUUUCGCACAACGGUCUAUUCAGGAUCUAAGGCUCAUGAUGCAAAGGGAUUCAAUAAGCUGGUAGGUGCUGGCCAACGCAAGGUUUUCAGCUCCACUCUACAGCGAAUGAGCACGGAAAUAUACCGCAGCUUCCUCAUUCAUUUGAAGUGUUUACGCUCAGAUCAGAAAGAUUCUCAGACUUGGCCAGGAACAAAGGAGCAGCGGCAAGGCUUUUCCCCAUAAUCCUCUAGUGCUCCCUCCCAGCUGGCCGAGCCUGACGGGUGUGCUGACACUGACUGGAUCUGAGUGCUCUCUUUUUCCACCGUGCAGGAUCUGGCUGUGUGGAGGAAGCGGGGGCUAAUUAAUGAGCUGUGAGUAUGAGGCCUCACUGCUGACAGCCAGUGGAGACAGGAUUAAUAGUCCGGUCAUCUGGCUUGAUGUGUGUGCCUCCAGGCUGCCCCUUGACGAGAGUCCACUGCGGAAUCCACUACGGCGG